Long non-coding RNA from Myotis davidii, 824 nucleotides. RefSeq lists it as uncharacterized. The record is from RefSeq and is a predicted model, not a curated record. The transcript is spliced from 7 exons. NCBI's taxonomy places the organism in Eukaryota, Metazoa, Chordata, Mammalia, Chiroptera, Vespertilionidae.
UCCUCUUAUAGAAGUAAUUUGCAAGUUGAAAUUGAAAAUGAAAUAUUGGUUAUGCUGGAUUUCACAGUGGAAUAAACUUACAGGAGCUGGACCACAGAAAAGAAUCACUGCAGCAAGCUGUAACUGAUGUAUGUAGUGACAACUCACCGCAUAUAAAGAGAAAGAGCACCGAGCAAUGACUGCUGCGAUUCACUGUUUCUUGAAACACCUGGUGUGGGUGUGAAAUUUCCUAAGACACAGUGGGUGAAGAAUGUCUUUUUCCUUUACCUGGUACUGUGAAGCCAACUGACCCCUUCUUGUAAAGAUCAACCACAGAAACACCAUCAACUCACAUGUGAUGUGACACCAUCGCAGUUAUAACAACUCUUGUGAUUACAUUGGGCCCAACUGGUUAAUCUGGAAUAACCUUCCCAUUCCAGUCCAUUUCCAGUGUUGCGAUUCUUUACUAGAAAAGACUUCUCUCCAUGGCAAACAUAACAUUGGAAGGAAUCACUAUUUAUUGAGGAGAAGAACUAUGAAGAGGAAAGAAAAAUUUGAGGGGAAGAAUCCAAGCUUACCUACCUGGCUAUUGACAAGCUUCAGUGAAAAAGAGUAGGAGAAAGAGCAAGAGUAAGAGCAGACAGCGUUCCCAAAAUGCACGCCACAGUCAUUUUUAAGCUAAUACUGAAAGCAACAUUCUAUUGCUACCACAGCAUUGUAUCUGUGAGAGCUAUUUCAUUUCAAUCCAAGAGAAGGUGUUUUUAACCAUUGAAGGAUUGCAGUUCAUUUUGUGAACCAAUAGGAUGCCAGAUUUAUUUUAAUUUAUCAAAGCAAACAUAAAAUGA